CCUACGGGGGGCAGCAGUGGGGAAUAUUGGGCAAUGGGCGCAAGCCUGACCCAGCAACGCCGCGUGAAGGAAGAAGGCUUUCGGGUUUUAAACUUCUUUUAUGAGGGACGAAAGAAAUGACGGUACCUCAUGAAUAAGCCACGGCUAACUACGUGCCAGCAGCCGCGGUAAUACGUAGGUGGCAAGCGUUAGCCGGAUUUACUGGGUGUAAAGGGCGUGUAGGCGGGACUGCAAGUCAGAUGUGAAAUCCGGGGGCUCAACCCCCGAACUGCAUUUGAAACUGUUGGUCUUGAGUAUCGGAGAGGAAGGCGGAAUUCCUAGUGUAGCGGUGAAAUGCGUAGAUAUUAGGAGGAACACCAGUGGCGAAGGCGGCCUGCUGGACGACAACUGACGGUGAGGCGCGAAAGCGUGGGGAGCAAACAGGAUUAGAUACCCUUGUAGUC
Molecule: ribosomal RNA, 443 nt
Filed under: uncultured bacterium
Lineage: Bacteria
Description: partial 16S ribosomal RNA
Rfam family: Bacterial small subunit ribosomal RNA
Source: RNAcentral